RNAcentral lists this ribosomal RNA (466 nucleotides) under uncultured bacterium. RNAcentral describes it as "bacterial SSU rRNA". It matches the Rfam family "Bacterial small subunit ribosomal RNA", at positions 917 to 1382 of the family's 1533-position model. The record is from RNAcentral.
GGGCCCGCACAAGCGGUGGAGCAUGUGGUUCAAUUCGACGCAACGCGAAGAACCUUACCUGGGCUCGAACGGCUCACGACCGGUCGUGGAAACAUGGCCUUCCCGCAAGGGACGGGAGUCGAGGUGCUGCAUGGCUGUCGUCAGCUCGUGUCGUGAGAUGUUGGGUUAAGUCCCGCAACGAGCGCAACCCUCGUCCUGUGUUGCUACUCCGCAAGGAGGCACUCUCAGGAGACCGCCGGCGAUAAGCUGGAGGAAGGUGGGGAUGACGUCAAGUCAUCAUGGCCUUUAUGUCCAGGGCUACACACGUGCUACAAUGGACGGUACAGACCGCCGCAAACCCGCGAGGGGGAGCAAAUCGGAAAAAACCGUUCUCAGUUCGGAUCGCAGGCUGCAACUCGCCUGCGUGAAGCUGGAAUCGCUAGUAAUGGCGUAUCAGAACGAUGCCGUGAAUACGUUCCCGGGCCUU